AGACUCCCUCGGGUUCUCCCCAAAAAGCGUCCCGAAACCCAACUGCUCAUAAAACCAUUCCUCAGCCACAGGAAAAUAAAGAACACGUCUCAUUGCUUCCCUGGACCCUAAAUCGCCCUUGCUGAGCCUCAUGGGAAUUGUAGUCUUGUUACGUGACCCGCUUGAUAACCGCGGAAGGUCGCGCGGAAAGGAGAGGAAAUGACCUAGCGCAGUGCUGGGGUUUCUGGGGGCUGUAGUCAAGAAGCCUUGUGGUUCGUCGGGACAGCGCCUGACAGCAGAGGCAGAAGAAACUACAACUUCCAGCAUGCCCUGCGGUCUCGUUAUUCGUGUUUUUUCUCCGCCCUACGAUUAUUCCCUUCCGCCCCCUUCUCUAAGCCGCACACCCUGAAUAGAAGGGCUGGUCCAGCGGCGGCGGAGGCUGGCGCUGUCGUGAGAGGGAGGGCUCUGUGCGGAAGAGGGCGACCCUUGGGCGCUGGAGUACGCUUGGGAUUGGGGCUGCGAGUGAGCACCAGCGAUUGGUUCGGAAGCGGACAUUUGGU
This 539-nucleotide small RNA is filed under the name Pongo abelii (Sumatran orangutan). Its description in RNAcentral is "processed transcript". The record is from RNAcentral. Lineage: Eukaryota; Metazoa; Chordata; Mammalia; Primates; Hominidae.